AGCAGCCGCGGUAAUUCCAGCUCCAAUAGCGUAUAUUAAAGUUGUUGCAGUUAAAAGCUCGUAGUUGAAUUUCGGGAUUGACCCAUCGGUCGUGCCUUAAGGGGUAUGAACUGGUGUAGUCAAUUUCUCACCUUCUGGAGAACCGCGAUGUCCUUAAUUGGGUGCCGCGAGGAACCAGGACCUUUACUUUGAAAAAAUUAGAGUGUUUAAAGCAGGCAUUUUUGCUUGAAUACAUUAGCAUGGAAUAAUAAAAUAGGACGGCAUGAUUCUAUUUUGUUGGUUUCUAGGAUCACCGUAAUGAUUAAUAGGGAUAGUUGGGGGCAUUAGUAUUCAAUUGUCAGAGGUGAAAUUCUUGGAUUUAUUGAAGACUAACUACUGCGAAAGCAUUUGCCAAGGAUGUUUUCAUUAAUCAAGUACGAAAGUUAGGGAUCGAAGACGAUCAGAUACCGUCGUAGUCUUAACCAUAAACUAUAGCCGACUAGGAAUCAGACGAUGUUAUUUUUAAUGACUCGUUUGGCAC
Molecule: ribosomal RNA, 520 nt
Filed under: uncultured Entrophospora
Lineage: Eukaryota; Fungi; Glomeromycota; Glomeromycetes; Entrophosporales; Entrophosporaceae
Description: SSU rRNA
Rfam family: Eukaryotic small subunit ribosomal RNA
Source: RNAcentral